Molecule: RNA transcript, 4194 nt
Organism: Poecilia latipinna (sailfin molly)
Lineage: Eukaryota; Metazoa; Chordata; Actinopteri; Cyprinodontiformes; Poeciliidae
Gene name: E3 ubiquitin-protein ligase TRAF7-like
Exons: 7
Source: RefSeq, a predicted model, not a curated record
CUUCACACGUUUUAUCUGACCUUUAUUAAAUGCAUAAGUUCUCAGCAGGCUGAAAUUCAGGAAUGCCUCUGCUGCAGAUGACCUUCAUGAACAAUAUUUAUGUUCUCAGAACCAGAAGCUCCAUCAGGAAACAAAGACCAGAUUAUCAGGAGGUUUUCCUUUAACACAACGGGGAAGGGAAAGGUUUUUAAAAUUUAUUAACAAAUUCAUUAUGAGAGUCAAUUCAUUAUAUCAGUAGAAUAAAACAGAAAUAUUACUAAAAGAAAGUUGUAAAACUGAGAAAAAGUCAUUUUAAAAGCUCUGCUAGUCAUCAGGCUCUGAUGUUCAUGUGGUUGUUUCUGAAAAAUCAUUUAAAUGAUAAUCUGAUGUUAAAGAGUAUUUAUCUGUAAAACUGACACUAAACGUUUACACAACACUCAACACCCCUCAUUAUGAUGCAGUUUUUGUGAGUUCUCAUAAAAUUACUACUUUCUGUAUUAUUUUGAUCUUAUUCUCGUAUUAUAAAUUAUUUAAGGCUGUUUUUAAAAAGCGUCUUUAGUACUCUGCUGUAUAUUAAAGUAACUGAGCUUCAGAAAUCUGACCUGGUUAAAUAUCAUGUCUGUUUAAACCUGGUCUGCAGGUUGUGUGACAUCAGCAGGAGGGUCAAAGGUCAUGGUUUCCUCCAUCCAGCUUCAGCUCUGCUGUUUCUAAAGAUGAACUGCAGGAGUCUGGAAUGUUUUAUUUUUAAAGGUUUUCGUGGCUCUAGUGGCCUUUUCAGGUCAGACAGGAAAGAGGAAGACGUGUCAAAGGUCACCAGGCCGGGACUCGAACCCGCAGCACUUUUCCCUCAUUUCCAGGUAAAAUGUUGCUGAGACGAGUGAAGGAUUGUUUUGUCUGUUUCGCUGAAGCAGUUCUGGGAAACCAGCCGACCACAGAGUGAGUUUGGGCCAAAGCGCCGCAGGCAGCCGGUCCAACCUGACGGGCAGCAGGGAGGAGCAGGAACCGCACAGGGAGAGGAAACCAGGAGCAGAACCCUGUGGUACCGCCGCCGGGCCGGGAGGGAGAGGUCACAGAGCCGGGCCGGUCCGAACAUCCAGCCAGGUCGGUCCGAUCAUCCAGCCGGGUCGGUCCAAUCAUGCAGCCGGGCCGGUCCGAUCAUGCAGCCGGAUCAUCCAUCCGGGCCGGUCCGAACAUCCAGCCGGGUCGGUCCGAACAUCCAGCCGGGCCGGUCCGAUCAUCCAGCCGCCCUCUGCUCCUGACAGAACAUCAGAAAACAGCUUUAAUACAAACAGCCACAAGGUUCUGGUUCCAGGUCCAUUCCAGGUCUGUCGGCCCGGUUGCAGUGUGUCGGCUGGUUCAGGUUUCUGAGGAAGCCGGUUCUGAUCCAAAUGGGUUAAUUUCAUCUGAAAAGGAGCAGCAGAGGAAGAGAGGUGGUCAAGUUUUCCUCCAUCAGACGCAGCAAAGACUCACUGCAGGACGACUGCACCUGCCUGGGAUCUUCACCUGUCAUCAUCAUCAUCAGUUCUCUGAACCUCCAUUUGUUCUGUGUUUCCCGUUUCCUCCAGGUUAAUCUCUGUCUUCCUGUCUCUUUUCCAUCCUUGACUUCUUCUCUCUCUCCCUCCGUCUCUCCCUCGUUAGCGGGUCUCAUCCCUCACUCCUGUCGUUCUCCUGCGCAUAAUGACGAAGGAAGCGGCGGAGUGGAUGCUUCUGAUCUCCUCGGCUUUUUGAAGUUCUGUCGUCUGUUUUCUCUUUUACUCGCUUUGUGCAUCAUCUUCCCCCAGAGUGUGUGUUUGUGUGUGAAUGUGUCGCCUCUUCUGUCUCUGAAGAGCUCUGAGUGCUUUAUGUAACACACACACACACACACACACACACACACACGGUUUGUUAAAGGGACCCAGAGCUGAACCUGAAUCUCACCUGAGCCGCCAAGCGGAGUCAGAACUCUGAAAGUCCUCUGAAGGACACGGCGUCCUCUCAAACUCUGCGUCCCACACGAGGACGUCCUCACAGCCAACCGUCCAGAGACGCAGGAUCAAACACGCUUCAUCUUCUUCUACUUCCUAUCUUGUUUCCAGGCUGAAGUCUCCAGAUAAUUUGAUAGAUGAGGGUAAAACUGCUCAAGGACUCCUGAACAUGGCAGUGAAGUCUGUAAACAUACAGAGGAUCCACGUUUUACCGCUGGAACAAAGGAGCAGAAACAAAAACUUUAUUACUGAAAGUGGAGAUUCUUUGGCUCCAAAGGGUUAAAUCUUUGUUUCUCAUUCUGUAUUAAAUGUUUAAUUUGAUUAAGUUUCUCCUGAGCUUUCUGUGUGUUUCAGGUUUUGUGUUCAGAUGGAUCUGCUGCAGUGGGACUGAAACCAUCUGAUCAUCUGUGAUGUUCUGAUACUUUCACCUACCGAACCAGAACCUUCCAGAACAUCGUUUCAUAGAGACUCUGUUUUAUUUCCUUCUUUUCUGCCUCGUUUCAGUUUGCAGCUGAAAUAAGAAGCUGAUUUUUUUCAUCAUUACAUUAAAUUAAGUGAAAAUGAAACAUAAAUUUGUGGCAUUUGGUUCAAAAAGUCAGAAUCUCUGAUCGAUUCAGAGACAAACUUUUAUUAGAAAGGAAUGUUUUAUUUGUGAAUAUUUCUGAUUAUUGUUUCUAUAGACAAAUGUUCCAGAACCAGAACCGGCAGUUCUUCCUCACCUCGGUGUUUUCAUUUGAACUUUCCGUUUUAAUGGCGCAGCCGUAAAUAUAAAUCAGGUGUUUUAUUUCGGAUUCGGAUGGAUGAACCGUCCUGUCGGUACUGGGAAGCCGGUGGUGCGAUCCGACUGCAUCGACGCAGGAGGACCGUCAGAGACGGUCCUGACCUGAUAUGACUGCAGGGCCGGGUCCAAAGAUCUGCUGUCGGCUCCGUAAUCCUCCAGCCAUGCGAGCCGGCUCAGGCUCCCAGGUUCUGCUGCUAGGUGCCGUCAGUAGAACCUCCCUAAGCCGCUUCCAGCUGCAGGAAGUCAUUCUGGGUUUCUCCUGCAGCAGAGAAAGAGAGCAACAGGAAGCUGCCGUGUGUUUGAGUGGGACAGCCUGAUGACGGGACGUCCAACUUGUGACGCCUCCACUGAAGGACAACAACUCUCUCACUUUCUGGGAAAUAAACUGGAGAAGUUCAGCUUUGGGAAGCUGACUCUGCGUUAGAGUCUGAGAAAGAGAUUCUGUUAGAAAGUUUUAAAGUGAUUUAUGCUGAAACAUAUUCAUUUGACUCAUGAGUUAUUACAGCAAUUUGAUGAUGGGAAAGAGAGGAUGUUCUUCAUCCUAACUAAAACUGAAGCAGAGGAACAUUUGGGUCAGUACAGAACCAGAACUGGAUCGGACAGAAAGCUCUGUGGACCUCAUUUAGUAAUAUUUCUAUUGGUGGAAAUGCAAAUGGCCUUGAACUCAACUGAAAUUAAACGUUUGAUUCAUUGCUUCGUUCCUCUAGGUUCAGGUCAAAGGCAGUUUGGUUGUCAUGGCGACGUCUCAGACCUGUGAUGAUGUUCAGGAUGUGACUCUGAAGACCUGGUUUGUUCCUGAAUGAAACAUUUCCAUGCAGACUGAGGAACGUCUGAGCUUUCAGAGAACGGCCAUGUUGGACCGUGGCUCAGAUGAAAACAGAAAUCUGUUGGACCAGCAGCAGAGUCCGGCUUGGUUCCUGUUCCAGCUCCAGCUUCACUUUAUGACUGAAGAGCAGAAGAUGGAGGUGAGAGUGAAGGAUGAUCGGGACAGAGACGAGUCUCCAGGAUCCAGCUGUCUGACUCUGACAAGCGUCCAAUCCAAAGUCCAACCUGCUGCUCCUCACAAUGAACCGUCAGACAUAACAGGCCAAAGCCACAUACAAACAUCAGCAGCUUCAGGAUCCAGCUGUGUGUCUCUGAAGUCCAUAGAAUCACCUCUGGCCUUUAGCCAAGAACCUGCAUCAUCUGGAACAAAAGGGAGGAAGAGGAGCUUUGUGCAUGAGGAGGAGCAGCCAUCCUGCUGUGGUUUGUGCUGCGAUGUCCUGAAGGAUCCGGUCUCUACCAACUGUGGUCACUGGUUCUGCAGACAGUGCACCAGUUCAUACUGGGAUGAGGCAGCUUCAUCAGUAUGAACUGGUGCACUGUCUGCAGAACCAGUGACCACAGUUGGUAGAGACCGGAUCCUUCAGGACAUCGCAGCACAAACCACAGCAGGAUGGCUGCUCCUCCUCAUGCACAAAGCUCCUCUUC